RNAcentral lists this ribosomal RNA (1375 nucleotides) under uncultured Gammaproteobacteria bacterium. Its description in RNAcentral is "partial 16S ribosomal RNA". It matches the Rfam family "Bacterial small subunit ribosomal RNA", at positions 29 to 1396 of the family's 1533-position model. The record is from RNAcentral. Lineage: Bacteria; Pseudomonadati; Pseudomonadota; Gammaproteobacteria.
AUGAACGCUAGCGGCAGGCCUAAUACAUGCAAGUCGAGGGGUAAGAGUCAGCUUGCUGACUACACGACCGGCGCACGGGUGCGUAACGCGUAUGCAACCUACCUUUAACAGAGGAAUAGCCCCGAGAAAUCGGGAUUAAUACCACAUAACAUUAUGAUAUGGCAUCAUAUUAUAAUUAAAACUCCGGUGGUUAAAGAUGGGCAUGCGUGACAUUAGCUAGUUGGUGAGGUAACUGCUCACCAAGGCUACGAUGUCUAGGGGUUCUGAGAGGAUGAUCCCCCACACUGGUACUGAGACACGGACCAGACUCCUACGGGAGGCAGCAGUGGGGAAUAUUGGACAAUGGGCGCAAGCCUGAUCCAGCAAUACCGCGUGUGUGAAGAAGGCCUGAGGGUUGUAAAGCACUUUCAAUUGUGAAGAAAAGUUAAAGGUUAAUAACCUUUAGCCUUGACGUUAACUUUAGAAGAAGCACCGGCUAACUCCGUGCCAGCAGCCGCGGUAAUACGGAGGGUGCAAGCGUUAAUCGGAAUUACUGGGCGUAAAGCGUGCGUAGGUGGUUUGUUAAGUUAGAUGUGAAAGCCCUGGGCUCAACCUAGGAACUGCAUUUAAAACUGGCAAACUAGAGUAUAGGAGAGGAAAGUGGAAUUUCAGGUGUAGCGGUGAAAUGCGUAGAUAUCUGAAGGAACAUCAAUGGCGAAGGCAGCUUUCUGGACUAAUACUGACACUGAGGUACGAAAGCGUGGGUAGCAAACAGGAUUAGAUACCCUGGUAGUCCACGCCGUAAACGAUGACAACUAGCCGUUGGGAGGGUUUACCUCUUAGUGGCGAAGCUAACGCGUUAAGUUGUCCGCCUGGGGAGUACGGCCGCAAGGUUAAAACUCAAAGGAAUUGACGGGGACCCGCACAAGCGGUGGAGCAUGUGGUUUAAUUCGAUGCAACGCGAAGAACCUUACCUGGUCUUGACAUACACGGAACUUUCCAGAGAUGGAUUGGUGCCUUCGGGAACCGUGAUACAGGUGCUGCAUGGCUGUCGUCAGCUCGUGUCGUGAGAUGUUGGGUUAAGUCCCGUAACGAGCGCAACCCCUAUCCUUAUUUGCCAGCACAUCAUGGUGGGAACUAUAAGGAGACUGCCGGUGAUAAACCGGAGGAAGGCGGGGACGACGUCAAGUCAUCAUGGCCCUUACGACCAGGGCUACACACGUGCUACAAUGGGAAGGACAAAGGGUUGCUAAGCCGCGAGGUAGUGCUAAUCUCAUAAACCUUUUCGUAGUCCGGAUCGGAGUCUGCAACUCGACUCCGUGAAGUCGGAAUCGCUAGUAAUCGUGGAUCAGAAUGCCACGGUGAAUACGUUCCCGGGUCUUGUACUCACCGCCCG